CACUAGCCCUGAUGGAAGCGGCAUCCUUUUACUUUUUUCUUUAAAAAGUAAAAGAUAUAGCGGACAGCAGGUAUCAGC
RNAcentral lists this small RNA (78 nucleotides) under Flavobacterium sp. S87F.05.LMB.W.Kidney.N. RNAcentral describes it as "Flavo-1 RNA". It matches the Rfam family "Flavo-1 RNA". Lineage: Bacteria; Pseudomonadati; Bacteroidota; Flavobacteriia; Flavobacteriales; Flavobacteriaceae. The record is from RNAcentral.